GAUGAACGCUGGCGGCGUGCCUAAUACAUGCAAGUCGAGCGAACGGACGAGAAGCUUUCUUCUCUGAUGUUAGCGGCGGACGGGUGAGUAACACGUGGAUAACCUACCUAUAAGACUGGGAUAACUUCGGGAAACCGGAGCUAAUACCGGAUAAUAUUUUGAACCGCAUGGUUCAAAAGUGAAAGACGGUCUUGCUGUCACUUAUAGAUGGAUCCGCGCUGCAUUAGCUAGUUGGUAAGGUAACGGCUUACCAAGGCAACGAUGCAUAGCCGACCUGAGAGGGUGAUCGGCCACACUGGAACUGAGACACGGUCCAGACUCCUACGGGAGGCAGCAGUAGGGAAUCUUCCGCAAUGGGCGAAAGCCUGACGGAGCAACGCCGCGUGAGUGAUGAAGGUCUUCGGAUCGUAAAACUCUGUUAUUAGGAAAGAACAUAUGUGUAAGUAACUGUGCACAUAUUGACGGUACCUAAUGAGAAAGCCACGGCUAACUACGUG
Molecule: ribosomal RNA, 497 nt
Filed under: uncultured bacterium
Lineage: Bacteria
Description: partial 16S ribosomal RNA
Rfam family: Bacterial small subunit ribosomal RNA
Source: RNAcentral